This 394-nucleotide ribosomal RNA is filed under the name uncultured bacterium. Its description in RNAcentral is "bacterial SSU rRNA". It matches the Rfam family "Bacterial small subunit ribosomal RNA", at positions 28 to 425 of the family's 1533-position model. The record is from RNAcentral.
GACGAACGCUGGCGGCGUGCUUAACACAUGCAAGUCGAGCGGUAAGGCCCUUUCGGGGGUACGACGAGCGGCGAACGGGUGAGUAACACGUGGGUGACCUGCCCUCAGCUCUGGGAUAAGCCUGGGAAACCGGGUCUAAUACUGGAUAUGACUCCAUGACGCAUGUUGUGGGGUGGAAAGCCUUGUGCGGCUGAGGAUGGGCCCGCGGCCUAUCAGCUUGUUGGUGGGGUGAGGCCUACCAAGCGACGACGGGUAGCCGGCCUGAGAGGGCGACCGGCCACACUGGGACUGAGACACGGCCCAGACUCCUACGGGAGGGCAGCAGUGGGGAAUCUUGCGCAAUGGGCGAAAGCCUGACGCAGCGACGCCGCGUGAGGGAUGACGGCCUCGGUUG